Molecule: long non-coding RNA, 970 nt
Filed under: Homo sapiens (human)
Lineage: Eukaryota; Metazoa; Chordata; Mammalia; Primates; Hominidae
Description: HSALNT0402502
Source: RNAcentral
UCAGGCUCAUCCUGGAGCCAGCUCUGCAGAGGGAACAUGGGGGGAGGCGACUCACACCAUGACCUGUGUGGAGGUGGCCAUGGUCGGGUGAACCAAUGAACCAAGACUCCUGAGUGUGUUAAGUCCAAAGAGCAGGACUCCGUGAAGGAAAGAGGGAAGAGCUGCAGCGGGGAGGCUGAACAGGAUUUUAACAACGGCUUGAAGAAACAAACUUACCAUGAAAAUGCAGGGCAGUCCAGCCUUGUGCAGACAAAGGAGAAAUGAGCCUCACUCGGGCAAACAGUGCUGGCGACCUCCUCUCCCUCCCUCCACCAAGGAAAACAAAAGAAGGGCAAGGCCCAGAGUGGACAGAGGCUUCUUCCCUGGGUCAGAGAAACACGAGGUCUCGGGGCCCAAAUCCCAGCGCUGCCUGGAGGAAAGGACCCAGCACCUCCCAGCAAAGGCCUCUGUCCACAGCUCCCUUAGUCUGGGGCAGGGAAAUCUGUCUGCACCUUGCCUUGGCUUCUUUCCCUGGGCCCUGGGGGACAACUGCCUAUCCGCUUUCCCCCUCAGGAACAGGGACACAUUAGCAAGGUGACCAGUGUGUCCCAGUUGGCCCAGAUUGUGCUGGUUUUAAAACGGAGAGUCCUGGAAACCCCUUCACCUGGGCAAACCAGGACGGUGGAGCACGGGGCAGGACGAGCAGCAGGACGAGCAGCAGGUCAGCCCUGGGGCCCACAGCUGCCGGAGGCUUCCUGGUCACUGUCUGUUCCCAAGCGCCUGAACUUAACCCUAACCCUACCCCUAACCCAAAUUCCACUCACCACUGGCAAAACUGUCCUCUGUCCUGGACUACCUCCGCCCUGGCCAGGGUGCUCAAGGCCCUGUUGGUGGUCGAGGGGUUCCUAUGGAUCCCGGACCCUGGCCUGGGCCUAAUCGGAGCCCGCCUGGGCCUCUGACCACCAUCUCUCUCUGCUCUGCUGUCAAGGAC